GAUGAGAACGUAGCGAAAUGCGAUACGUAAUGUGAAUUGCAGAAUUCAGUGAAUCAUCGAGUCUUUGAACGCACAUUGCGCCCCCUGGUAUUCCGGGGGGCAUGCCUGUCCGAGCGUCAUUGCUGCCCUCAAGCACGGCUUGUGUGUUGGGCCUCCGCCCUCCUCCCGGGGGACGGGCCCGAAAGGCAGCGGCGGCACCGCGUCCGGUCCUCGAGCGUAUGGGGCUUCGUCACCCGCUCUUGUAGGCCCGGCCGGCGCUUGCCGACACAUCAAUCUUUUUUCCAGGUUGACCUCGGAUCAGGUAUGGAUACCCGCUGAACUUAAGCAUAUCAAUAAGCGGAGG
RNAcentral lists this unclassified non-coding RNA (343 nucleotides) under soil metagenome. RNAcentral describes it as "partial contains 5.8S ribosomal RNA, internal transcribed spacer 2, and large subunit ribosomal RNA". The stretch from base 5 to 119 matches the Rfam family "5.8S ribosomal RNA", at positions 40 to 154 of the family's 154-position model. The record is from RNAcentral.